The sequence is a ribosomal RNA, 397 nucleotides long. It matches the Rfam family "Eukaryotic small subunit ribosomal RNA", at positions 582 to 975 of the family's 1831-position model.
AUUCCAGCUCCAAUAGCGUAUAUUAAAGUUGUUGCAGUUAAAAAGCUCGUAGUUGGAUUUCUGGAUCGAAUGUCCGGUCGGCUUACUAAGUAAGCUCGUACAAGUGAUAUUUGUUUCAUUUUUUGUGAGGAAAUUUAUCUGUCAUUAAGUUGAUGGGUUACGGACUUGCAUCGUUUAUUGUGAAAAAAUUAGAGUGUUUAAAGCAGGCGUUUGCCUUGAAUACAUUAGCAUGGAAUAAUAAGAUAUGACUUUGGUGGUCUAUUUUGUUGGUUUGCACACCAGAGUAAUGAUUAAUAGGGACAGUUGGGGGUAUUCAUAUUUCAGCGUCAGAGGUGAAAUUCUUAGAUCGCUGAAAGAUGAGCUUAGGCGAAAGCAUUUACCAAGGAUGUUUUCAUUA